CCACGGCGGAUGGCUGGGUCGAGAGCACAUCUUUAUUUUCUCUCUAGAUCAUUCUUCUUCCUAUUUUGAUUUGAGAAAGGGAACGUGAGAAUUAGGUCAACCAGAGUGUUUUCCCAGUAAGUGUUGAGGCAGGCGUUUGCAAGGAGCAGUAUUGGAAGCGUUUCCGGAGUUUUCCAGUGUGUUCGGGUUUCACCUGCAUGUCAGGGUUCGUCACCGUCACAGGAACCCUGGGUCAUUUUGCCAACUCAGUAGAACGGGGCUAAAAUGUAAGAGAAGUAACUUUUAUUUUGAGAACAUGCUCAAAAGUCUAACAAAAUGCACACAGGGGAUACAGAAAAUAGAAUGUGGCAAGGUGGGAGUCUGUGGAGGGAGUGGUGAGUAAAUUGUAAUCCGUCUUGGAGACCGUUUCCAAGUUUACACUACGUGAAGCGGACGGGGUUUGUGAUGCACACAGGGCACAGCCCCCAAGCCCGGGUUCUCCAUCGCUUAGUGGGAAUGCAGCCUCUGUGUGGUUUCAAGAAUGGACAUCUGAGUUCUGGCCUGUGUCCAUUUCAACAUAUUCACUGUUUGAAAGUGAAUAUUCAGUUUGACUCGUUUAAUUUCAGAAGCACUGAGAACUGAACUUAGAACAGAAGAGCACUCUAAAUAGAGAGAAGAGAGGAGAUUGUUGAGGCAGAUGGAAAGCAUCACAGGAGAAGUGUGUGGCCCUCGCCUGUGGAGGUGAAGCUCCAGCAAGGCUCCAUCUUGAGUUUUUUUAAAUUUUGAGUAGUAAAGUGAUUCACUAGAUGGAUUGCUAAAAGCAGUUCCCAUUUUAUGUUUUCUUUCUUUGGUAUUCCCAAAAUGCAAAAAAAGUAUGUCUUAGGGCCGAUAUCCCCUUUUGAAAUUACAUCGUUAGGAUUUCUGCCAUCUUUGGAACCAGGGUGUUGAAAGGCUCAGGGUGCUCGCCCACAUCAGUGAGGGAGGUGCAGCUGAUGAAGGAAGUGCUGGGUGCAGAAGGGGAUGCUCUGAAAUGGUGGCUUCUGUUUGCAGUUUCAAAGCUCAGAUAUUUCCUGGGAAUAGAAAUUCAUCUCCUGGAAGUAAACGCAAUAGUAAAAUCCAAAUAAGGAGCUGUGGUAUUUGGUGUGACUUAAGAAGUUUUUAAAAUCUGGACUUUGCUCUUGUUAGCUCUGUGCACCUGAGAGACUUUGAACAUCCAUUUUUAAACUGCAGCUUCUCUCUAUAUAAAUGGGCUAUAUGGGAAUUGAACAAUGAGAUCACAUGGACACAGGAAGGGGAAUAUCACACUCUGGGGACUGUGGUGGGGUGGGGGGAAGGGGAAGGGAUAGCACUGGGAGAUAUACCUAAUGCUAGAUGACGAGUUAGUGGGUGCAGUGCACCAGCAUGGCACAUG
This 1390-nucleotide long non-coding RNA is filed under the name Homo sapiens (human). Its description in RNAcentral is "HSALNT0299797". The record is from RNAcentral. Lineage: Eukaryota; Metazoa; Chordata; Mammalia; Primates; Hominidae.